Molecule: ribosomal RNA, 160 nt
Filed under: uncultured bacterium
Lineage: Bacteria
Description: partial 16S ribosomal RNA
Rfam family: Bacterial small subunit ribosomal RNA
Source: RNAcentral
UCGAGAAUCUUGGGCAAUGCGCGAAAGCGUGACCCAGCAAUGCCGCGUGUAUGAUGAAGGCCCUCGGGUCGUAAAAUACUGUCUCCCGUGACGAAAUCUGACGGUAGCGGGGAAGGAAGCCACAGCUAACUACGUGCCAGCAGCCGCGGUAAUAAUCACU